This 497-nucleotide ribosomal RNA is filed under the name uncultured bacterium. RNAcentral describes it as "partial 16S ribosomal RNA". It matches the Rfam family "Bacterial small subunit ribosomal RNA", at positions 28 to 507 of the family's 1533-position model. The record is from RNAcentral.
GAUGAACGCUGGCGGCGUGCCUAAUACAUGCAAGUCGAGCGAACGGACGAGAAGCUUGCUUCUCUGAUGUUAGCGGCGGACGGGUGAGUAACACGUGGAUAACCUACCUAUAAGACUGGGAUAACUUCGGGAAACCGGAGCUAAUACCGGAUGAUAUUUUGAACCGCAUGGUUCAAAAGUGAAAGACGGUCUUGCUGUCACUUAUAGAUGGAUCCGCGCUGCAUUAGCUAGUUGGUAAGGUAACGGCUUACCAAGGCAACGAUGCAUAGCCGACCUGAGAGGGUGAUCGGCCACACUGGAACUGAGACACGGUCCAGACUCCUACGGGAGGCAGCAGUAGGGAAUCUUACGCAAUGGGCGAAAGCCUGACGGAGCAACGCCGCGUGAGUGAUGAAGGUCUUCGGAUCGUAAAACUCUGUUAUUAGGGAAGAACAGAUGUGUAAGUAACUGUGCACAUCUUGACGGUACCUAAUCAGAAAGCCACGGCUAACUACGUG